This 508-nucleotide ribosomal RNA is filed under the name uncultured bacterium. RNAcentral describes it as "partial 16S ribosomal RNA". It matches the Rfam family "Bacterial small subunit ribosomal RNA", at positions 28 to 507 of the family's 1533-position model. The record is from RNAcentral.
GACGAACGCUGGCGGCGUGCCUAAUACAUGCAAGUCGAACGCUUCUUUCCUCCCGAGUGCUUGCACUCAAUUGGAAAGAGGAGUGGCGGACGGGUGAGUAACACGUGGGUAACCUACCCAUCAGAGGGGGAUAACACUUGGAACCAGGUGCUAAUACCGCAUAACAGUUUAUGCCGCAUGGCAUAAGAGUGAAAGGCGCUUUCGGGUGUCGUUGAUGGAUGGACCCGCGGUGCAUUAGCUAGUUGGUGAGGUAACGGCUCACCAAGGCCACGAUGCAUAGCCGACCUGAGAGGGUGAUCGGCCACACUGGGACUGAGACACGGCCCAGACUCCUACGGGAGGCAGCAGUAGGGAAUCUUCGGCAAUGGACGAAAGUCUGACCGAGCAACGCCGCGUGAGUGAAGAAGGUUUUCGGAUCGUAAAACUCUGUUGUUAGAGAAGAACAAGGACGUUAGUAACUGAACGUCCCCUGACGGUAUCUAACCAGAAAGCCACGGCUAACUACGUG